RNAcentral lists this transfer RNA (71 nucleotides) under Epinephelus malabaricus (Malabar grouper). RNAcentral's name for it is "tRNA-Glu". It matches the Rfam family "tRNA". From Rfam's summary of the family: Transfer RNA (tRNA) molecules are approximately 80 nucleotides in length. Their secondary structure includes four short double-helical elements and three loops (D, anti-codon, and T loops). The record is from RNAcentral. Lineage: Eukaryota; Metazoa; Chordata; Actinopteri; Perciformes; Serranidae.
GUUUUUGUAGUUGAAAAAACAACGAUGGUUUUUCAUAGCCAUAAGUCCUGGUUAAAACCCAGGCAAAAACU